RNAcentral lists this ribosomal RNA (464 nucleotides) under uncultured bacterium. Its description in RNAcentral is "partial 16S ribosomal RNA". It matches the Rfam family "Bacterial small subunit ribosomal RNA", at positions 28 to 507 of the family's 1533-position model. The record is from RNAcentral.
GACGAACGCUGGCGGCGUGCUUAACACAUGCAAGUCGAACGGAAAGGCCCUGCUUGCUGGGUACUCGAGUGGCGAAAGGGUGAGUAACAAGAGGGUGAACCGCCCUGCACUUCGGGAUAAGCCUGGGAAACUGGGUCUAAUACCGGAAAGGAGCCAUUCUAAGUGUGAUGGUUGGAAAGUUUUAUCGGUAUAGGAUGAGCACGCGGCCUAUCAGCUUGUUGGUGGGGUAAUGGGCUACCAAGGCGGCGACGGGUAGCCGGCAUGAGAGGGUGGACGGCCUCAUUGGUCCUACGAUACGGCCAAGACGCCGACGGGAGGCAGCAGGGUGGAUGAUUGCACAGUGGCCAAGAGCCUGAUGCAGCGACGCCGCGUGGGGGAUGACGGCCUUCGGAUUGUAAACUCCUUUCGCUAGGAACGAUGCGUUUGUGACGGUACCUAGAUAAGAAGCACCGGCUAGCUACGUG